Molecule: ribosomal RNA, 440 nt
Filed under: uncultured bacterium
Lineage: Bacteria
Description: partial 16S ribosomal RNA
Rfam family: Bacterial small subunit ribosomal RNA
Source: RNAcentral
CCUACGGGAGGCAGCAGUGGGGAAUAUUGCACAAUGGGGGAAACCCUGAUGCAGCGACGCCGCGUGAGCGAAGAAGUAUUUCGGUAUGUAAAGCUCUAUCAGCAGGGAAGAAAAUGACGGUACCUGAGUAAGAAGCUCCGGCUAAAUACGUGACAGCAGCCGCGGUAAUACGUCUGGAGCAAGCGUUAUCCGGAUUUACUGGGCGUAAAGGGAGCGUAGGCGGCCUGCCAAGUCUGAUGUGAAAUACCUGGGGUAAACCCCGGGGCUGCAUUGGAAACUGGCGGGCGGGAGUGCGGGAGAGGCAGGCGGAAUGCGUGGUGUAGCGGUGAAAUGCGUAGAUAUUAGGAGGAACACCAGUGGCGAAGGCGGCCUGCUGGACGGUGACUGACGCUGAGGCUCGAAAGCGUGGGGAGCAAACAGGAUUAGAUACCCGGGUAGUC